Molecule: ribosomal RNA, 492 nt
Filed under: uncultured bacterium
Lineage: Bacteria
Description: bacterial SSU rRNA
Rfam family: Bacterial small subunit ribosomal RNA
Source: RNAcentral
AGUGAACGCUGGCGGCAGGCCUAAUACAUGCAAGUCGAACGGCAGCACAGCAGAGCUUGCUCUGUGGGUGGCGAGUGGCGGACGGGUGAGGAAUACAUGGGAAUCUGCCCAGUCGUGGGGGAUAACGUAUGGAAACGUACGCUAAUACCGCAUGCGCCCUACGGGGGAAAGCCGGGGACCGCAAGGCCUGGCGCGAUUGGAUGAGCCCAUGUUCGAUUAGCUAGUUGGCGGGGUAAUGGCCUACCAAGCCGACGAUCUAUAGCUGGUUUGAGAGGAUGAUCAGCCACACUGGGACUGAGACACGGCCCAGACUCCUACGGGAGGCAGCAGUGGGGAAUAUUGGACAAUGGGGGCGAACCCUCGAUCCAGCAAUGCCGCGUGAGUGAUGAAGGCCUUAGGGUUGUAAAGCUCUUUUGUCCGGAAAGAAAAGACAUUCGGUUAAUACCCGGGUGGUUCUGACGGUACCGGAAGAAUAAGCACCGGCUAACUUCG